UACGGAGGGUCCGAGCGUUAAUCGGAAUUACUGGGCGUAAGGCGUGCGCAGGCGGUUUGUUAAGCGAGAUGUGAAAACCCUGGGCUCAACCUAGGAAUAGCAUUUCGAACUGGCGAACUAGAGUCUUGUAAAGGGGGGUAGAAUUCCAGGUGUAGCGGUGAAAUGCGUAGAAAUCUGGAGGAAUACCGGUGGCGAAGGCGGCCCCCUGGACAAAGACUGACGCUCAUGCACGAAAGCGUGGGGAGCAAACAGG
RNAcentral lists this ribosomal RNA (253 nucleotides) under uncultured bacterium. Its description in RNAcentral is "partial 16S ribosomal RNA". It matches the Rfam family "Bacterial small subunit ribosomal RNA", at positions 524 to 776 of the family's 1533-position model. The record is from RNAcentral.